Molecule: long non-coding RNA, 691 nt
Filed under: Androctonus crassicauda
Lineage: Eukaryota; Metazoa; Arthropoda; Arachnida; Scorpiones; Buthidae
Source: RNAcentral
AUGUAAAAAUUCAUAUUUAAAUACAUUCAAAAUUCUCACUAAAGUUUUACAGCAUAAAGUCAGGCAAAAAUAAGAACAGAUGUUUCAAUAAAACAAACUGUUACAAUUUAAUUUAAAAAAAUUAAAUUAUAGCAGUUUGUUUUGUUGGAAGUGUAUGGACACUUUACAAAUAAGAUUAGAAAUGAAUAGACCAAUAUUCUUAAGGAUCAUUCCUGUAUAUAUCAUUAGUUUAAUAUUAAAUAGAAAAGUAGCAAUUCCUGAUAUUUAUGAUCAACAGUUUGUGUCUUUUUUGAUAAUUCUGGUCAUUUGGUUAAUACAGUAUAAUUAUUUUGCUACCUUUGUUUUAUGUUUUUGUUAGAGAGUUGGAAAGAAUAGUAAGGGGAACUUCUUUCCACUCAUGGAGUACUAAUGGCCAUAUUCACCAACUGAGUCUCAAAAUGAGAAUUGCAUGAUGCAAGAAGCAACCAAUCUGAGCUGCGAGUUGGCAUCAGAAUGAAUACUGUAUUCACCACACUAUUCCGAUGCUAGCUCACAUGAUUGCCGACUUAAGUCAGGACAGUUUGUAAGAUGCGAUCUGACUGGACAAGAGAGAUCACGAGGUUUAUUUAUUUAUUUAUUCAAUGUUGCAAACUUGAAGAGUACAAUACGCUACAGUCACAAGAAAGAAGUAACAAAAUAUAUUAGAAGUAAC